GGUCAAGCUACAAAGGGCGCAUGGUGAAUGCCUUGGCAUCAGGAGCCGAUGAAGGACGUGAUAAGCUGCGAUAAGCUUCGGGUAGGCGCACAUAGCCAGAGAUCCGGAGAUUUCCGAAUGGGGAAACCCGCAUGAGAAACCUCAUGCAUCGUAAAGUGAAUACAUAGCUUUAUGAAGGAACACCUAGGGAACUGAAACAUCUAAGUACCUAGAGGAAGAGAAAGAAAAAUCGAUUUUCUUAGUAGCGGCGAGCGAAAAGGAAAGAGCCCAAACCAGAGAUUUAUCUCUGGGGUUGCGGACAGAACAUAACGUGAAAUUAUGAUUAACCGAACACAACUGGAAAGUUGGACCGUAGGAGGUAAUAGUCCUGUAAGUAAAAGUCAUAAUGAUCAGUUCUGCACCAGAGUACCACGAGACACGUGAAACCUUGUGGGAAGCAGGGAGGACCACCUCCCAAGGCUAAAUACUACCUGAUGACCGAUAGUGAAGCAGUACCGUGAGGGAAAGGUGAAAAGAACCCCGGGAGGGGAGUGAAAUAGAACCUGAAACCAUGUGCCUACAACCGAUCAAAGCACCUUAUGUGUGUGAUGAUGUGCUUUUUGUAGAACGAGCCAACGAGUUACGGUAUGUAGCGAGGUUAAGUACUUAAGGUACGGAGCCGAAGGGAAACCGAGUCUUAAUAGGGCGACUAGUUGCAUGCUGUAGACCCGAAACCGGGUGACCUAUCCAUGGCCAGGUUGAAGCGAGGGUAAAACCUCGUGGAGGACCGAACCACGUUGCUGUUGAAAAAGCAUGGGAUGAGCUGUGGAUAGCGGAGAAAUUCCAAUCGAAC
This 832-nucleotide ribosomal RNA is filed under the name Escherichia coli. Its description in RNAcentral is "partial 23S ribosomal RNA". It matches the Rfam family "Bacterial large subunit ribosomal RNA", at positions 1 to 838 of the family's 2925-position model. The record is from RNAcentral. Lineage: Bacteria; Pseudomonadati; Pseudomonadota; Gammaproteobacteria; Enterobacterales; Enterobacteriaceae.